Molecule: non-coding RNA, 202 nt
Organism: Pelobates cultripes (western spadefoot toad)
Lineage: Eukaryota; Metazoa; Chordata; Amphibia; Anura; Pelobatidae
Source: the annotation of a GenBank genome assembly
GUACGGAAUGUUUACAGGUAUGUGCUGGCUGGUUUUGGAGUGAGGUAAAGACAGGAUGUAAUGAUCCAUAUGUUUUGUCAAGUGGGAAUAGAGGAGGAAUGGAGUGGUUUGGGUCGUGGAGGUCGUAGUGAAUUCUCUGGGUCGUAGAAAUCCAUAGAAAGCGAUGUAUAUUGCUGUUUUGAUGAUAGAAUUUGUAUUAGUG